CCUGAACAUUGGUUUAAGAUGCCCUUUGACUCUGACUGGAAAGUUCCAUUCUGCCCGCAGUAGGACAGAAGACAUCUGAAAGACAAGUUAUAAGAGAUGGAGGGAUGAGGUCUCUAGUUCCAGGAGGGUACCCACAUAUGCUCCCCUACCUGGAAACUGCCGCCUGCAACACAUCUGUGCACGAACCCUUUGUGCUGAUGGCCCCAUGCUGGCUUUGGAGCUUUGUGGCACGUGUCAAAGUGGAGAGAACCGCAGGCCGAGAGUUGGGAGACGUGGCUCGGACACUUCCUUCCCCUGAGCCCGAUUCGCCCAUCUGUGACAUGAAGGGGAGGGGUUGAGGUGCCCUCCUCAGCUGAUAGUCUGUGAUUCUCUUGCCUUCUGGAGGCCAUGAGAUCUGCCUCUCCUCCACAGCUACUUACGGUGUCUCUACGAGUCUUUGUCUGUCUGCUUGGCACAGCUAGGGGCUGAGGUCUUCAGAUCUAGUCCGAGUGGGGUCAGCAAUGUGCGGUUUUUCAUCUAGACAUCAUUGCCCUUCAGAUAUUUGAAAUUACAUCCCAAAGAUUUCUGAUUGUUGAUCUAGGCACUCGUUGAAAGUCUGUGUGUCGUUUUCGCAAGAACUUGGCCAGGGUUAGGCAAGAAAGGGGAAGAGAUGGGGUGGGAGUAGGGGGGAGAGAGGCAGAGGUGACAUGAUCCGGGAGUUCCAGUAGGCACCUGACCGCGGGGACACUGGAGGGGUUGGCAGGACUUGGCAGAGUACAUUGGCUUAGCUUCUGUCCUGAGUCAGUGGGGAACUUCUGGAGGGUUCAAGCAGGGUCGGGAGACAUGAUCAGAUUUGCAUUGAGAACGCUCACUCUGACUCCAGUGGAGGAGGGCCCUUAUGAGAGGAGCAAGUUGGAGGCAGACACCAUCCUGAUGCCAAGAUCCAGGUGACAGGGACACCCUGCUGAGGAUGUGGACCUAAGGAAGGGGGUGGAGUUGAGAGAGGCUUGCCAGCCGACAGCAAAGGGCUGGAUGAUUGCCUGCCGGCCUUGGCAGGGGAAAGUGGACAGGAAGAGCUGGAAGCUAUGCUGGCACCUUGGGGACCAGAUGUGUCACUCACGGAGACAGAAUGGAGAAGAUAAGUGCUCGGACUCACAGGAAGUCCUAAGCUACAUACCUCAGUGCGAGCUGCUGUAGGACAUCUGGGGAGAUGUGUCCAGAGAGCAGGUGGAGGGAGGGUUCUGGAGUUUGGAAGAGGGGUGGGCCCACAAUGCAGGCAGUGUAUGUUCUUGAUAGAAGUGUUGUGGGAGGUGAGGCCCUGUGAGGGGGAAGAUCACUCCCGUGCCCUUUAGGUGGAGUGAGAAGACAAGAGGCUGAGGACACAGACAAGGAAAUCCUGGAUCCCCCACGAGUCCCUCAAAGACACAAGGUGGGAGACCGCCAGCACAGAGACUGCUACCAACACAGGGCAGGCCACGGGGAGCAGCAGUGGAUGUGUUUUCCGGCUGUGGUUCCUCCAGAUGGGGACUUUGUCCUCAGUGCACCUGGCUCUGCUGGGGUUGCUAUAGCAACCACAGAGGCAGGCACACUUGGUCUCUGUGUUGCCAUGGAAACGAGCGGUUGGGUAUCCCUGAGUGGCAGGGCCAUGGAGGCCUUGGGGAGUCAGUCUGGUCCCGAAGGGCUUGCAAGGGGGACUGUGACCAGCAGAGAGGGUUUCUGUGUCCUAGUGAAUCAGUGACGGUGGUUGUUAGUGUGACUGUUGCCACAGUGAUGGGGGGAGACACCGGCGCGAGCUUCAGUUCGGAGCCGAGUACUAUAAGGAACUGCAACAGGCUCCAGGUCUUUGUGUGCCGCCUGAAGCAGCCCCAGCCUCCAGACUCACCCCAUCGUCUGGCUGCCAUGGAGGGAAGGACCCUCUCCUUUCUUUCUGGGUUUGCACUCUUUUGCCGAGACAGGGAUUUUGUUCCCAGGAGGCACUCCCCGGCCCAUGGGAUCUCAGCAUUCAAAGCAACACAGGAAACCUGGGCCCCUGAAACGGGGCCACCGAAGAGAUCGGAGAACAACCAGGAGGAAGUACUGGAAGGAAGGAAGGGAGAUCGCUAGCUGUCCCCCGCCCAGGAUCCUGUGCCUCUUGCUUCCUGAUCCCUCCCAUGAGCCCAGGAGAGCCUGAGCACAGCCUCUGAACAAGGCCCACGUAUCUCCAUGGAAGCCUGCUGUUGCUGGGUGUGGGAGGAGCUUCCAGAAGCAGGUGGGGCAUUUUUGUUUGGGAGUGGGGAUGCUGGAGAGAGCAGCCGGGAGGUGGGCUGCUGGAGCCCCUCAUGGUGCCUGAGGCUGGGCCUAAAGGAAACCAAGGUGUUUAGCCAGCAGUCUUUGUCCCCUCCCUCCCACCUUACUCCCCUAUGCCUACCAGUCCUGUUACUUUCCCUGAAUCUCAGACCAGAGCCUGACCCCCAGGAAAGCAAACUGUUACCCAGGGAAGCUCACCCCAGCUUUCCCAACUCCUGCUGCCUGGAUUCCCCUCAUGCUCCUUGAUCCAGGGGGUAGGCUUAAGGGCUGGCGGGGGGGUCUUCCGUCUUGGAACAUGGAGGUGAUAUGGGGACGUGUUGAGUGUAUGAGCUCAGCCUACGGGGUGGCAUGUGUGGGUGCCUGUGAUAUGUGAGUGUGGAGAGGAGUAGAGGUAGGUGAUGGUAUAUAUGCAUGCGUGGCGUGUGUGUAUGUUUUGUGGAGGCCGAGAACUGUGUGUGGUAGGUCUGGAAUGAUGGGGUCGCGUGGUGGGUAAGGUGACAUAUCCAUUGAUACGUGAAUUGGGGGGUAAUAGGUAUUUGCUGGGGGGUGUGCAUGUUUGGAGCAUGCGAAGGCAUUUCAAGUACGUGCGCACGUAUGAGUAUUGUGUGGUGGUUUGGGCAGGUGGAUACUGGGUGUGUAUGAGACGCAGCUGGAGGCAAAUAUGUAUGCGGGGUGUCUGAGGUAAUGGAUGGGAGGCAGCUGUAUACACGUAAACUUGUCUGCGCGUGGCAUAGGAAGGGCUGACAUGUUAGUGUAUGUGGUGUGGCUUGGAAGGGGGAGGGCAAUGUGUGGGUUCAAGAUGCGUGCAUGGUACGUCUGAGGCGAUGUGUGUGUGCGUUGGGGGGGAUGCAAAUGAGCUAGUAUGUGAGUGGGCAGAGUGUGUGUGGAGAAGGGGAAGUGGGCAUAUAACCCUCCCUACACCUCAAGAGUUGGUGGGCAUGGUUUUCCCACUCAAAGUUGAAGAAUCUGAGGCUCACACAGGGGACCCCAUCUCUGGCAGCCCACAGCCUAGACUCUGGAGGGUGGGGGUUGGGCCUGGCCCCUCUGGUGGCCUGGUGGGUUACGGCAGGUCACGUUCAGUUCUUCAGGGUCACUGUCCUGCAGCUGGCCCGCGUGGCCUCCCCAGCCGUAGAGGAGAGUUUGUGCAAGCCAGUUGUUAAACGUAGCUGCUGUUAAGCUUAAACUAUAUACACUUAAAUAAGUGAAAAUAUAAAAUUAAGAUCUAAAGCAAAGGUGACAAAUACACAAAGCUCACCCCCUUUUUUUUUUAAACUGCAUUUGACUACAUCUGUGCCCUUGAGGUGAUUCGUGCCUGUUGUAUCUGUGCAGUGGAAAUAAUCUGCCCAGCUCUGCCUUGUGUCACACAACUGGCCACAGAGGGUGUAUUCACUCCAUAGUAGUCAGGAAAUGCUACAAAUGAAGACCGGAGGUGUUUUGUUGAUUAUCUAGAUCUACGAAAGAGAUGGGGGGAGAUGCUACGAGAACAGAUGAACUUCAAAGUGUAUCUUGUCUGUGGCUGCUAUACUGUCUUCACUUAUAUUGUAGUUUAGUAGUCUCCAUACCCAGUGUGGGGCUCAAACUCACCACCCUGAGAUCAAGAGUCACAUGCCCUUCUGAGCCAGCCAGACAUCCCUAGAUCAGUAAAAUUUAUAAUAAACUUACAUAUGUAUGCAUGCAAACAUGUUUUGGAGAGCUGAGUGUUAAACAUCACCGUUGAAAGCUCUCAGUAGGUCCUAGUUACUCACAAGCCCCCAACAGGUCUCCUUUAUCCUAGGUGAAGGAGGUGAAGGAGGGCAGGUGCAACUUGCAAAGGCAUUGGAGCAGCUUCCAGAAAAGCUGUGGCUUGUCACCAGCUCAGCUGUGACUUCGUCCUGGUCCUGGGCCAGGUGGUCAGAGCUCACCUGCAGCACAUUCAUUCUGUGCUGGCUUCCUAAGCCCCCUCCGGUGUCCUAAGCCCCCUCCGGUGUCCUAAGCCCACUGUGUCCGGUGCUGGGGAUUCACGGGUAGGGGGAAGAAGUGCUCACUGCCUGCCUAGAGCCCAUGGCCCGGGGGAGGACACACCGAGUCACAGCCAGUCAUUCCCUGGAGAGUGUGGGGCAGGCAGGAUAUACCUCGCCCGGCUGGAGAAGGAAGGAGACUGGGACAGGUUAGUUGGGCUGGGAGUGUGCCACCUGGGGCAGUGGUCCUUGGCACUGAGUGUGUAAGGGCUCUCUAUUAAACAUGCAGAGACUCUUUUGGCACGUCUAGGCAGGGCGGAGUCUGCGGUAUGCUAGGGGAUGGUGAAGGAGGUGGCCCUUAGGCCACAUUUGGAGAAACAUUGUUCCAGUGAACUGAGAGGAUGAAGUUCCUUUGGGAGGUGGGGGUGGCUGGAGCAAACCAGAGGCUGGCCAGCCUGGUGGGAGGGCAGAGAGGAGUAGGCGACAGAGGCGGGCAGCAGGCCGCGUGAAGGGGGUUGGAGUCUAUCCUGUAGAAUGAGGGGCCGUCGAUGGAUCCUUGUCAGCAGACAGGUGAUAGGCUCAGAUUGACUUUGGAAGGUGUAUGCGCUUAAAGAGGGCAGAACUGGAGGCAGGGAGCCUGGAAGAGGCUGGAGACACAUGAGGCCUAAACCCAGAGGCAUCGGAACAGGGGGAGGGGACCAAAAGAGGGCACCGUAGGUCCAACAAACUGGGCUAGAAGGAAGAGGAGGUAGGGUGAAUCUGGGCUUCUGGGCUGGUGAUUGAGUCGAUGGCGGGGCUCAUAAUGUUGCUGGAAACAGAAGAAGAGCAGGUCUGGAGUGAGAGACGUUGCGGUUUGGACCUGGAGACUUACUUGGUGGUUCUGGAGGAGUCCAGAGGCAUUAGGAACUCAGAGGAGCCACCAGGAAGUAGAUUUGGGAGCCCCUGCAGAUAGGUGGUGGGGCUCUGGGAGUGGAGAGGUCGCCUGGGAGAACACAGAACGAGAAGUGUCUCAGAGAGCCAUCCAGAUUUGGUCCUGAAGGGCCGGGAACCCAGGUGUUUAUCUUGGUCUCAUUUCUGGAAGCAGGUGGGUGUUGGGGGGCAGUUACCAGUCCUCCAUGCAGGAGAGCCGAAGAGUGGGCUGGAGAGGGUCGGAGGAGUUCAGAACUGUGGGCAGGCAGCUGGCUGUCUUCUGUGAGGAGCUGGGAGCCAUGAUGGUUAGGAGUCACAGGGCCCCAUUUUCAGCUCCAGUCCUGGCUCUGCUAUCAACUUGCUGUGUGACCUUUGGCAAAUCACUACUCACUCUGGGCCUCAGCUUCUCCAUCUGCCAAAGAGAAGGUGGGACCAGACCAGUGACUUUCAAAUGACAUUUGGAGCCCCAGGGCCACCCAGAAGUAUCCCCAGGGAAGUGCUGGGGGUAAGGGGAGCUCUCGGUGGGGCAUUCCCACCUCUGCCCCACCCCCAGCUUCAUCCAGAGCCACUUGCUUUUAUGUUUUCUAUGUUGGCUGCCGACUGAAAACCACUGGGUCAGAGGAUCCCAAGUCUGUGAAGCCUUGUCAACAUAGACACUGAUGGAGAAUGAAGAGUAAAUAAAACACAGUGAGAAAACCAAGUAUCCUGCUACAGCACUGUGUGGGCCUCAGCACCCAUUUGCCAUGUAGCAAAGUCAUGGUCAUGCCUAGUCACAUAGGACUCAGCCCUGCCUGCUUGUGGAUGAUUUCAGCCGUCAGUGCAGUUCAGUUUACUUCCUCCUCCUGGCUGGCGGGUCACCAGUCUCAGCCAUUAGUGUGUCCCUAGAGGAAUCUGUGUGACACCAGCCCUUCUCUACUGCUCCCAGGGCAAAUGCAGUGUGAGGUUGGCUGUGAAGCAGCAUGUCAGCUUCCCUGUCCCUUGAUGUGCUCUGUCCAUGGUCUCUACCUAGACAGAGCAAAGGUUCUCAGAACAGGACACAAAAAACACUUGGGCUGCUCCCAGAGCUUGGCCUCAGUGCUGAUGCCCACUGUUGUGCUGGAGGCCUCAGUGGGUAUUGCCCUGACUUCCCUCCAGCCCCACCCGGCAUCCCCCAAAUGCCCUUGACAGCCAGGUACUAUCAGCAAACUGGAGGCAAGGCUGGGUCCAGACUAGUUGGGGGGGGAGCAAUGAGAGGGGAGACCCUCAAGUGGGAACAGGAUGCCCUUCCAGUGCCUCCACGGGGAAACAGGCCUGUGUGACUUCACAUCCCCGAGAAGCCCAGGCAUGGCUCCCCUCCCUUGGGGUAGGAGCUCUGUAGGGACAGCUGCCCCACACCUUGGUUUUGGCAUCCUGCGGCAGGGGGUGCAGGAUGGGGGGCAGUCAACUUAGAGGAGCCAGAGAUCCCAUGCCCCUUCAGCCCAAGCUCUUGUCCCAGCAUAUACACCCCUCCCAUUGCUGGGAAGGUGGUUCAGCCCCUGACCCUACCCCCUAAGGGAGGGGCUGUGGUCUGUCCCUCAAACUAGAGCACACAGGGUUCCAGGCUCAAACUGUGCCUUUGGGGUGCUCCAGGCUCUGGGGUCUCUUGCUACCUGAGGAACUGUUUGGGGGAAGAGCUCAGCAGAAUGGCUUCCUCCCUGUGCUCUCCUUAGUAUCCUAGAUGGACUCAGAAAGUUUCUCCAAGGCUCCUGAGAAGAGCCCCCUCCAGCCCACCCUGGAGUCCCUCCCUGUUCUUGCCCAUGUUCUCAGGGUUCCCCAGACCACAGGGUCCACUUCAACCAGUUCUCGCUUGGCAGGGUGGUUGCAUGGGGGCAGGGGUGACGACUCUCGGUGUUUCCUGACAACAGGCUGGGGGACUCAAGCACCAAUGUGAAGCUGAAGAGUGUCGUGGAGACAGGGGGCGGUGAGACGGAGUCUGCCCAGGCCACGUCCGUGGCUGGGGUGUGGCCCUGGGCCUGGGGAGGGUCGCUGUUUGAGAGGAGGACGCAGCUUUAUAAAAUGACUCCGUAAGUAUGGCCUGGGCAGGCGGGGCCACAGGCCCCCACUGCCCCACUUGGGACAUGGGCAUGGACCAGGAGCACCUGCUGCAGGCGACCCUGCAGCAGGGAGUGGGGGACCCUGGAGAGAUGGGAGGCUGCUGGUGUCAAGGAAACACAAAUGCUUGGGCCAAGGCAGAGGCUGGCUCUGGGCCUCUGGGGAAUGGGGGAGGCCAGGUGCUCCCCAGUGUUCAAGGCCGCCGGGCUGGGGUAUUCCCUUGAGCAUUGUGUGUGUGUGUGUGUGUGUGUGUGUGUGUGUGUGUGUGUUCACACACAUGAGGGGCUGUGGUAUCUGCCAUGAUUUCUGACUCCAUUGGCCCAAAUUAAGAACCCUCUGAACUUAGAAGCCUAGGAAGGCAGGCCCAUGACUUCUUUCUUAGACAUCAAAGUCUCUAGAAAAGUGAUUUGUCUCAUGUGAACCUAUGGGAGGGUUUGAAAAAUACAUAUCCCAGACCCUACCACCAGAGUGUCUACAAUGCAGCCCAGGAAUCUCCAUUUUAACCCCCUGCCCUGGGUGAUGUUGAAGACUGCUGUAGCUGAGUGAGGAAACCAUUGCUCUGGAGGGACGCCUACCCUGGGCCAGUCUUAUUUUAGGCGUGUGGUGGCUCGGGCCUCUGCCUACAGAACCGUUAGACACUCAUGCUUUGACCCUUACAGAUGCUCUGACAAUCCAGAAUCUCACAUGAGGGGAAGACCCCAUGUGUUUUUCAGUAACCUCUUCCUGGAGCACAAGAAGAGAAAGCAUGGUGAAUGGGGCGGGCCCUUGAAGGAGAAGAAAUUCAGGAAGGGCUGGUCUCAGGAGGAAGGACCCUUGCAUCCCAGUGUCUGGGGCUAUGUUCACGGACCGGUGGCUCAGAGCCCAGGGCACCCAUGAGGCAACCCCUGCAUGGCCCCCCAUCCAGUCCUGUGGAGGAGCCUGGCUCUUUUAGGACAGACACGACUAAGAAUAGGGCUCAGAGAGUGGACUUCUAGAAGGUAGGCAUCCCAAGGAUAGUUGUGGAUUUUAGUUGGUGGAGUUGCUUUUUAACAUGUUUACUACAUUAAAAAAAAAAAAAAAAAAAGAAUCCACUUAAUUUAAAAU
Molecule: long non-coding RNA, 8264 nt
Organism: Felis catus (domestic cat)
Lineage: Eukaryota; Metazoa; Chordata; Mammalia; Carnivora; Felidae
Exons: 3
Source: RefSeq, a predicted model, not a curated record